This 253-nucleotide ribosomal RNA is filed under the name uncultured bacterium. Its description in RNAcentral is "partial 16S ribosomal RNA". It matches the Rfam family "Bacterial small subunit ribosomal RNA", at positions 524 to 776 of the family's 1533-position model. The record is from RNAcentral.
UACGAGGGGGGCUAGCGUUGUUCGGAAUUACUGGGCGUAAAGCGCACGUAGGCGGAUACUUAAGUUAGGGGUGAAAUCCCAGAGCUCAACUCUGGAACUGCCUCUAAUACUGGGUAUCUCGAGUUCGAGAGAGGUGAGUGGAAUUCCGAGUGUAGAGGUGAAAUUCGUAGAUAUUCGGAGGAACACCAGUGGCGAAGGCGGCUCGCUGGCUCGAUACUGACGCUGAGGCACGAAAGCGUGGGGAGCAAACAGG